This 516-nucleotide long non-coding RNA is filed under the name Heterocephalus glaber (naked mole-rat). RNAcentral describes it as "lncRNA (ENSHGLG00000046818.1)". The record is from RNAcentral. Lineage: Eukaryota; Metazoa; Chordata; Mammalia; Rodentia; Bathyergidae.
CCUCCCCUCCUCCCGCUUCCCUCUCUCUCUGCUCCACUCCUCACUAGCUCUCUCCCUCUCCUCGGGCGGAAUCGCCCACCGCUGCCAGCCCCGUGCUGGGGGGACCCGUGCCAGGCUGCAGCCGCAGGUGCUGGGUCAGGCCCGGCCAGUGCUGCCUGCAGUCUCCCUUCCAUCCCUCGAGACCUGCCAGCCUCAGACCUGUCUCUCCUGGGGACCCUGUCAUGUCCUGGGACAGUGGGUGCCUCCCGUGCCUCCCUGGAGAAGGGCCCCAGCAAGAGGAAACCGGGUUUUGCAGGAAAAGGCGCUGAGCUGGGCUGCUUUCCCCAGCCCCUAGGGAGGGCGGCCAGGCGGGCAGGGACAUCAGAACUGCGGUGGAGGAACAGCUGAGGCGCUGGCUCUCAGCCUGUGGGCGAAGUUGGGGGCCGACUGCGGGUUAGACUCCCAGAGCAACUCUGCAGACGGAAUGAAGUUACCAGGAGGCCUGAGGCUGGCAGCCAGGGGUCUGAGAGGGAGGAG